GAAUAUUUGUGGAGACCGCAACCAACUACGACGGAAUGUAGGAUGGCUAUGUAUCGCUUUUGCGACUAAAGUUGCAGGCUCGACAAAAAGGGAGAAAUAUUAAAAACAAGAAAAAUAUCUGAAAAAACUGAAGAAAAUAAAACAUAGUAAAUUAACUAACAUGCGAUACAAAAUUUCAAGAAAUUCCAUCAAGUAAUAUGGGAGAAUAUUACAGCACACACAACUAUAUAAAUCGAGAUAUAAAUGUUGAAAAAUAAACUUUGAAGUCCAAAGAG
RNAcentral lists this long non-coding RNA (275 nucleotides) under Mytilus galloprovincialis (Mediterranean mussel). Lineage: Eukaryota; Metazoa; Mollusca; Bivalvia; Mytilida; Mytilidae. The record is from RNAcentral.